GACGAACGCUGGCGGCGUGCUUAACACAUGCCAGUCGAACGGAAAGGCCCUGCUUUUGUGGGGUGCUCGAGUGGCGAACGGGUGAGUAACACGUGAGUAACCUGCCCUUGACUUUGGGAUAACUUCAGGAAACUGGGGCUAAUACCGGGUAGGAGCUCCUGCUGCAUGGUGGGGGUUGGAAAGUUUCGGCGGUUGGGGAUGGACUCGCGGCUUAUCAGCUUGUUGGUGGGGUAGUGGCUUACCAAGGCUUUGACGGGUAGCCGGCCUGGGAGGGUUACCAGCGACAUUGGGACUGAGAUACGGCCCAGACUCCAACGGGAGGCAGUAGUGGGGAGUAUGGCACAGUGGGCGGAAGCCUGAGGCAGCAACGCCGCGUGCGGGAUGACGGCCUUCGGGUUGUAAACCGCUUUCGCCUGUGACGAAGCGUGAGUGACGGUAAUGGGUAAAGAAGCACCGGCUAACUACGUG
RNAcentral lists this ribosomal RNA (468 nucleotides) under uncultured bacterium. Its description in RNAcentral is "partial 16S ribosomal RNA". It matches the Rfam family "Bacterial small subunit ribosomal RNA", at positions 28 to 507 of the family's 1533-position model. The record is from RNAcentral.